RNAcentral lists this ribosomal RNA (253 nucleotides) under uncultured bacterium. Its description in RNAcentral is "partial 16S ribosomal RNA". It matches the Rfam family "Bacterial small subunit ribosomal RNA", at positions 524 to 776 of the family's 1533-position model. The record is from RNAcentral.
UACGUAGGGUGCAAGCGUUGUCCGGAAUUAUUGGGCGUAAAGAGCUUGUAGGCGGUUUGUCGCGUCUGCUGUGAAAUUUCGGGGCUCAACCCCGAACUUGCAGUGGGUACGGGCAGACUAGAGUGCGGAAGAGGCGAGUGGAAUUCCUGGUGUAGCGGUGAAAUGCGCAGAUAUCAGGAGGAACACCAGCGGCGAAGGCGGCGCUCUGGGCCGGAACUGACGCUGAGGAGCGAAAGCGUGGGUAGCAAACAGG